Molecule: ribosomal RNA, 660 nt
Filed under: Ammannia radicans var. radicans
Lineage: Eukaryota; Viridiplantae; Streptophyta; Magnoliopsida; Myrtales; Lythraceae
Description: eukaryotic LSU rRNA
Rfam family: 5.8S ribosomal RNA (bases 240-395)
Source: RNAcentral
UUGGAAGUAAAAAUCGUAACAAGGUUUCCGUAGGUGAACCUGCGGAAGGAUCAUUGUCGAAUCCUGCACGGCAGAACGACCUGAGAACAAGUUAUUAACCCAAUGCCGGGUCUGUGCCCGACCGUCCUCGGUCGACGCAAGAUCUUGGCACCCACAAACGUACCCCCGGCGCGGAAGGCGCCAAGGAACAUUAACAAGAGAGGUGCGGGAACGCGCCGCCUCAAGAGUAUAAAACAAACGACUCUCGGCAACGGAUAUCUCGGCUCUCGCAUCGAUGAAGAACGUAGCGAAAUGCGAUACUUGGUGUGAAUUGCAGAAUCCCGUGAACCAUCGAGUCUUUGAACGCAAGUUGCGCCCGAAGCCUUUUGGCCAAGGGCACGUCUGCCUGGGUGUCACGCAACAUGUCGCCCCCAAAAUCGGAGUGCAAGCCCCGGAAGGGGUGCGGAAGUUGGCCUCCCGUUGCUCGACGCUGCGGCUGGCCCAAAAUUGAGCGAUGGAGCGACGUACUCCGCGGCGCGCGGUGGUGCUGAAAAUUGCCCCUCGGGCAUCGAGUCCGGAUCGUCUCUCCAGCAUUGCUCUGCGGCCUUCAUUGAGAACACAUGCGACCCCAGGUCAGGCGGGGCUACCCGCUGAGUUUAAGCAUAUCAAUAAGCGGAGGAA